UGUGUGUGUAUACGUGUGUAUUUAAAAAGUCCAAGAUUGAGGAGGGGCUGGACCCAGAAGAGAUGGGCUUGCAAACCUCCCCCCAAGACUCCGGGCCUGCAGCUGCUAUGCUCGAGUGCAGACAGACAAUCGGACGGGGACGUGACUCUCAACUUCUGACUCAGGAACACGGGAGCUGCAGCCAUGGGUGAUCAGGCGAGGUGAGGGGUGGCGACUGUGGCUUGAACUGUGGCCUGAGAACCUGAACCACCGCCCUGCACGGACCCAGCCCCACCCCAGGCUUCAGGCCACACCUCUGCGACUGCCUGUGACCCUUGCCGAGGAAGCCUUCUCCAUGAUUUUCUGAUGGCCCGUAUACACAGGCCCAAAACUGCCCAGGUGAAGCCCACCUUGGGCAUGUCUCACCCGUAGAGGGGCUGAUGUGGGACAGGAAGGACACAGAAGAAGUAUCUCAGUGCCCCUGUGGACGCCCCCAACGGACCAGUGUCCCACUUCUCACCACCAUCCCGUUCUGAUCCCUGCCACCCUCCGCAUGCC
Cervus elaphus (red deer) is the source of this 537-nucleotide long non-coding RNA. RefSeq lists it as uncharacterized. The transcript has 3 exons. Lineage: Eukaryota; Metazoa; Chordata; Mammalia; Artiodactyla; Cervidae. The record is from RefSeq and is a predicted model, not a curated record.